UCGCGCUAAAGGUCGGUAGUGGCCCGCGCGCGCCGCCCGCCGGGGGCUCGCGCCAGCCACGAGGGAGCGUCCGCGGCUCGCGCGCCCGCGCCGUGGAGGAGAGCUCAUGAUUUCCUGGAAGCUGGCUGUCCAUCAAUGUGUAUGUAAGAUGUGUUUUAAGUAUGAUGUUUCCGUAAUACAUUUGGAUGUUUUCAGCUAAGCUCACUUCUGAACCGUGGGGUUCCUCCAAAUGUUGACUGAAAUUUGUCCUUGCGCUUCCCAGGCUCAUCUGCAAAAUCUACAGUCCAUAAUGGAGCUACUGUACUGGCUAUUGGAAGAAGGAGAUUCUGAAGAUAGGGAGUUCAUCAAGAAGCCAAAGAUCUUAUGCCUGACUAAGUAUCUCCAUAUCUAACUUGAUUCAGCUAUCAGUCUGAAAUUUCCUGUGGUCUGUUCAGUCUAGAUGCAAAGGCCAUGGAAAAAUCAAGUGCUCAAGUGGUUUAAAUAUGUUUUGGAUGUUCUUAUUUAUAGAUUACAGUAUUUUUCCACUUAAAAUCCACAGUUGUCUUGCAGAAGAAGGUUAUGCCCUUCUAGAUCACCAAUUUUAUUUGACAUGCUUAGCAUUGUAAUGUAUUACCAAAUGCUAUCUGUUUUAAUCAAAGUAUAGAAAAAAUAAAAUCAAUUUUAUAUGUUGA
Molecule: long non-coding RNA, 671 nt
Organism: Physeter macrocephalus (sperm whale)
Lineage: Eukaryota; Metazoa; Chordata; Mammalia; Artiodactyla; Physeteridae
Exons: 6
Source: RefSeq, a predicted model, not a curated record